CCCUUAGAUGUUCUGGGCCGCACGCGCGCUACACUGAUGGAUUCAACGAGUGUUGUUCUUCGGAGCAGAUCCUUGGUCGGAAGGCCUGGGCAAUCUUGUAAAUGUCCAUCGUGAUGGGGCUAGAUUUUUGCAAUUCUGAAUCUCCAACGAGGAAUUCCUAGUAAAGGCGAGUCAUCAUCUCGCUUUGAUUACCUCCCUGCCCUUUGUGCACACCGCCCGUCGCUACUACCGAUUGAAUGGUUUAGUGAGAUCUCCGGAUUGGCUUCCUUGGUACCUUCGCGGGUCCAACGUGAAGCCGAGAAGCUGCUCAAACUUGAUCAUUUAGAGGAAGUAAAAGUCGUAACA
RNAcentral lists this ribosomal RNA (345 nucleotides) under uncultured eukaryote. RNAcentral describes it as "partial 18S ribosomal RNA". It matches the Rfam family "Eukaryotic small subunit ribosomal RNA", at positions 1470 to 1796 of the family's 1831-position model. The record is from RNAcentral.